Molecule: ribosomal RNA, 497 nt
Filed under: uncultured bacterium
Lineage: Bacteria
Description: partial 16S ribosomal RNA
Rfam family: Bacterial small subunit ribosomal RNA
Source: RNAcentral
GAUGAACGCUGGCGGCGUGCCUAAUACAUGCAAGUCGAGCGAACAGACGAGGAGCUUGCUCCUUCGACGUUAGCGGCGGACGGGUGAGUAACACGUAGGUAACCUACCUAUAAGACUGGGAUAACUUCGGGAAACCGGAGCUAAUACCGGAUAAUAUUUCGAACCGCAUGGUUCGAUAGUGAAAGAUGGCUUUGCUAUCACUUAUAGAUGGACCUGCGCCGUAUUAGCUAGUUGGUAAGGUAACGGCUUACCAAGGCAACGAUACGUAGCCGACCUGAGAGGGUGAUCGGCCACACUGGAACUGAGACACGGUCCAGACUCCUACGGGAGGCAGCAGUAGGGAAUCUUCCGCAAAGGGCGAAAGCCUGACGGAGCAACGCCGCGUGAGUGAUGAAGGUCUUCGGAUCGUAAAACUCUGUUAUUAGGGAAGAACAAACGUGUAAGUAACUGUGCACGUCUUGACGGUACCUAAUCAGAAAGACACGGCUAACUACGUG